RNAcentral lists this ribosomal RNA (458 nucleotides) under uncultured bacterium. Its description in RNAcentral is "partial 16S ribosomal RNA". It matches the Rfam family "Bacterial small subunit ribosomal RNA", at positions 338 to 795 of the family's 1533-position model. The record is from RNAcentral.
CCUACGGGAGGCAGCAGUGGGGAAUAUUGCACAAUGGGGGAAACCCUGAUGCAGCGACGCCGCGUGAGUGAAGAAGUAUUUCGGUAUGUAAAGCUCUAUCAGCAGGGAAGAAAUAGCGACCUUUGGGUCGCCAGACGGUACCUGAUUAAGAAGCCCCGGCUAACUACGUGCCAGCAGCCGCGGUAAUACGUAGGGGGCAAGCGUUAUCCGGAUUUACUGGGUGUAAAGGGAGCGUAGACGGCAGCGCAAGCCUGGAGUGAAAGGAUGGGGCCCAACCCCAUGACUGCUCUGGGAACUGUGCGGCUAGAGUGCCGGAGGGGUAAGCGGAAUUCCUAGUGUAGCGGUGAAAUGCGUAGAUAUUAGGAGGAACACCAGUGGCGAAGGCGACGAUCUGGGAAGAAACAGACGCUGAGUCCCGAAAGCGUGGGGAGCAAAUAGGAUUAGAUACCCGUGUAGUC